This 406-nucleotide ribosomal RNA is filed under the name uncultured bacterium. RNAcentral's name for it is "bacterial SSU rRNA". It matches the Rfam family "Bacterial small subunit ribosomal RNA", at positions 355 to 776 of the family's 1533-position model. The record is from RNAcentral.
UGGGGGAUAUUGCACAAUGGAGGAAACUCUGAUGCAGCAACGCCGCGUGAGGGAAGAAGGUUUUCGGAUUGUAAACCUCUGUCCAAAGGGAAGAAUAAAUGACGGUACCUUUGGAGGAAGCUCCGGCUAACUACGUGCCAGCAGCCGCGGUAAUACGUAGGGAGCAAGCGUUGUCCGGAAUUACUGGGUGUAAAGGGUGCGUAGGCGGCUAUGUGGGUCAGACGUGAAAUGCACGAGCUUAACUCGUGAACUGCGUUUGAAACUAUAUGGCUUGAGUGAAGUAGAGGCAGGCGGAAUUCCCGGUGUAGCGGUGAAAUGCGUAGAGAUCGGGAGGAACACCAGUGGCGAAGGCGGCCUGCUGGGCUUUUACUGACGCUGAGGCACGAAAGCAUGGGUAGCAAACAGG